UACGUAGGGUGCGAGCGUUCCUCGGAAUUACUGGGCGUAAAGGGUGCGCAGGCGGUUCUGCAAGUCAGGCGUGAAAGCCCCGGGCUUAACCUGGGAAUGGCGCUUGAAACUACAGGACUGGAGUAUGGCAGAGGGAGGUGGAAUUCCACGUGUAGCGGUGAAAUGCGUAGAGAUGUGGAGGAACACCUAUGGCGAAGGCAGCCUCCUGGGCCAAUACUGACGCUCAUGCACGAAAGCGUGGGGAGCAAACAGG
RNAcentral lists this ribosomal RNA (253 nucleotides) under uncultured bacterium. RNAcentral describes it as "partial 16S ribosomal RNA". It matches the Rfam family "Bacterial small subunit ribosomal RNA", at positions 524 to 776 of the family's 1533-position model. The record is from RNAcentral.